Molecule: ribosomal RNA, 152 nt
Filed under: Ipomoea nil (Japanese morning glory)
Lineage: Eukaryota; Viridiplantae; Streptophyta; Magnoliopsida; Solanales; Convolvulaceae
Description: 5.8S ribosomal RNA
Rfam family: 5.8S ribosomal RNA
About the family: 5.8S ribosomal RNA (5.8S rRNA) is a component of the large subunit of the eukaryotic ribosome.
Source: Rfam by way of RNAcentral
GACUCUCGGCAACGGAUAUCUCGGCUCUCGCAUCGAUGAAGAACGUAGCGAAAUGCGAUACUUGGUGUGAAUUGCAGAAUCCCGUGAACCAUCGAGUCUUUGAACGCAAGUGCGCGAAAAUCCACGCCGAGGCGCAGUCUGCUGGGGCGAAA